CAAUAAGCGGAGGAAAAGAAACCAACAGGGAUUGCCUCAGUAACGGCGAGUGAAGCGGCAACAGCUCAGAUUUGGAAUCUGGCCCCCUCGGGGGCCCGAGUUGUAAUCUGGAGAGGAUGCUUCUGGCGCGGCGCCUGGCGAGUUCCCUGGAACGGGACGCCGGAGAGGGUGAGAGCCCCGUACUCCAGGACGCCUAGCCUCUGUGAAGCUCCUUCGACGAGUCGAGUAGUUUGGGAAUGCUGCUCUAAAUGGGAGGUAAAUUUCUUCUAAAGCUAAAUACCGGCCAGAGACCGAUAGCGCACAAGUAGAGUGAUCGAAAGAUGAAAAGCACUUUGAAAAGAGGGUCAAACAGUACGUGAAAUUGUUGAAAGGGAAGCGCCCGUGGCCAGACUUGCGCCCCGCGGCUCACCCGGCGGACUCCGCCGGGGCACGCCGCGGGGUGCAGGCCAGCAUCGGCUCUCCCAGGGGGACAAGGACGGCGGGAACGUGGCUCCUCCGGGAGUGUUAUAGCCCGCCGCGCCAUGCCCCUGGGGGGGCCGAGG
Molecule: ribosomal RNA, 542 nt
Filed under: Raffaelea sp.
Lineage: Eukaryota; Fungi; Ascomycota; Sordariomycetes; Ophiostomatales; Ophiostomataceae
Description: partial large subunit ribosomal RNA
Rfam family: Eukaryotic large subunit ribosomal RNA
Source: RNAcentral